GUGGUAUCCUGUCUGAAUAUGGGGGGACCAUCCUCCAAGGCUAAAUACUCCUGACUGACCGAUAGUGAACCAGUACCGUGAGGGAAAGGCGAAAAGAACCCCGGCGAGGGGAGUGAAAUAGAACCUGAAACCGUGUACGUACAAGCAGUGGGAGCACCUUCGGGUGUGACUGCGUACCUUUUGUAUAAUGGGUCAGCGACUUAUAUUCUGUAGCUAGGUUAACCGUAUAGGGGAGCCGCAGGGAAACCGAGUCUUAACUGGGCGUUAAGUUGCAGGGUAUAGACCCGAAACCCGGUGAUCUAGCCAUGGGCAGGUUGAAGGU
RNAcentral lists this ribosomal RNA (322 nucleotides) under Klebsiella pneumoniae. RNAcentral describes it as "bacterial LSU rRNA". It matches the Rfam family "Bacterial large subunit ribosomal RNA", at positions 426 to 752 of the family's 2925-position model. Lineage: Bacteria; Pseudomonadati; Pseudomonadota; Gammaproteobacteria; Enterobacterales; Enterobacteriaceae. The record is from RNAcentral.